RNAcentral lists this ribosomal RNA (255 nucleotides) under uncultured bacterium. RNAcentral describes it as "partial 16S ribosomal RNA". It matches the Rfam family "Bacterial small subunit ribosomal RNA", at positions 524 to 776 of the family's 1533-position model. The record is from RNAcentral.
UACGAAGGGUGCAAGCGUUGCUCGGAAUUAUUGGGCGUAAAGGGUAGGUAGGUGGUGGCAUAAGUCUAUAGGUGAAAUCCCUGAGCUCAACUCAGGACGUGCCUUAGAAACUAUGCUCACUAGAGUACUAGAGAGGUUCGUGGAAUUCUUGGUGUAGCGGUGAAAUGCGUAGAUAUCAAGAGGAAUACCUGAGGUGAAGACGGGUUGCUAGGCUGACACUGACGCUGAGGCGCGAAAGCCAGGGGAGCAAACGGG